CUUGGCACAUUUCGAAGCCAUGGUGUCUGUCUGUAGAUUUUGUGGUCAAACUUGUGCCAAUAUCAACUCCUUCCAGACGGUCGCUAAAUGUAGUUUACCAUACGCAUUUGGCAUACAUACUGAGGGAUACAGUU
Molecule: small nucleolar RNA, 134 nt
Organism: Liolophura sinensis
Lineage: Eukaryota; Metazoa; Mollusca; Polyplacophora; Chitonida; Chitonidae
Source: RefSeq, a predicted model, not a curated record